GAACCCGCCGCCCUCCCACAAAGCGCUUUUGGGGUGCGCUCCCCCCAGCCCCUCCGGUGUUUGUGUCCGUCUGUGCACCCUCCUCUGCUGUCUGUCCGUCCAUUCAUCCCUCCAUCCAUCCAUCUCUCUCCAUCCCCUUGAACGCCUCCAUCCAUCUCUCUCCAUCCCCGCACGCCCCUCUCCAGCUCUCCACCAGUCCCUGUCCUCACCACGGGCUCAUUAAUGGGUUUUGUUAAUUAUGCUGCGGGCUCGGAGAGAGGCUCCGGGCAGGUCAGCGGCUGUGGACGGAGGGCUGAGGCUGGGGUGGGCUCACCUGGCUGCAGGGACAAGGCACAGCAUCCUGCAGGUACCGGUGACACCCCCAGGACCACGACCCCUGCCAGGUCUGUGCCAACCCCUCCGGGUGACAAAGGGAAGUUCCCAGCAGCGAGGAGGAGACGUUGCCAUGCCCGGAGCGGCAGCCACCUGCUCCUCUUUGUAAAGCCACCUGCUUCCCUUUGUAAAUCCACCCUCAGGUGUCAAACCCAUAAUGACAUCCUUAAUUUCCUAAAAAUCUCCCCGCGUGAUGCUCCCUCCGCUUAUUCAGCUUAUUCCAGGACAGCCCCGUCCUGAUCCUGCCCAGCCCCGGUCCCGUGGUGGUGAGUUGUUAAGCUGCGUGUAAGGGAGAGGGAGUUGGAAAUGUCACGGCCUUUCCCCAGCUCGGUUUGGCCCCCGCCUUGGUGUGUCAGCACCAGAAACGCUCUUUGUGGGGCUUCUUGGAAAAAAAGCAGUGGGUUUUGUGUGGCUUUGGUGAGGAGCUUUGUUGGAAACUGCCCAGAAACGCUGGCGCCAGGGGCGGCUCCUGGGGCUGGGACAAAAGAGGGGCUCCUUCACCCUACGACUCUGUCACCCUGCCCUAAAUGCCUUUACCUAGCACGGGAUGGAGCAGGGGGUGUCCUUUAUGGGGCCGGGGCUGCUGUGGGGCUGCAUUGGGAUGGGAACUUCGUCACGCUGAUGGGUUCAGGCUGGAAUUCCUCUUGAGCUACCGACCUGCCGAGGUGUGUGGGGUCAGCAGCUCCCGGCUCACCCCGCUCCAACGGGAAGGGCUCGGAGGAAAGUCCCUCUUUAAAUAGGAUUAAACCAAAGCCGCUGUUUGUUCUCCGGCACGGAGCUGUGGGAACACACGUGUGAGCCACAUGGCUAUGGGUUUGCCGGCCAGAAAGCCAUGCUGGGGACAGGUGGGGCCAGGGCAGCGCUCGCCAAAGUCAGGGUGUGGGGUAUGGGAGUGCUGCCCACCCAGCCGUGAGCUCAGCAUCCCUCUCUCUAUCCCGUGGUUUCAAUGCUUGGAAACGGGGCAAAGCUGCCUGCAGACAUCUGGUGAGGCUGGGGGGAGCAGCCCGGGUCUCUUGCAGUUUGCUUUGCCUUUGUUGCUUUGCUGCAGCGAGCCGGGCUGCUUCCUUGGGCCGUUUUACACAUCCCUCCAUCCCGGAGCGAUUUGGGGUCUGCCCCCCCUCCACAAUGGGAUGCACUCGCUGGGCUCUGGGGGCUCUGUUUGAGGGCGCAGCGUGUGCGCGAGGAGCUCCCCGACCCCAGCUCCGAGCGAGGGUGUUGCGGGAGGGUCUGACACCGUGGCACGAGUCACCCCGGAGAAAAAAAAAAACAAAAAAACACCAUCAGGGCGACACAAACCAGAGCCAGGCGGACAGAGACGGCCGCUCAGCUGGGCCGCAUCUGCACGAGGCUGGGCUGGCAGCCAGCGAAGAAAGGUUGUGGCCCUUCCCUGGCUCCACGCAAUGACAAAAAGCCUCUUAAAAGUCUGCUGUCGCCUCUCUGAAUUAAAACCAAAGGCUCCAGAAGUUUAUUCGCUCCGGGAUCGUCCUUUUGGCUGCCGGUGGGGGUUGCAGGACAGCCUCCAGUGAUGUCCUCCAAGUUUUACCGAGAGCCACAUCCACCCACGAUCAGCUCCGUGUACCAGCUCCUGGGACAGCUCGUGGCUGUUGGGAGAUCCAAAAUUGGGUCUUGGUGAUGCUCCUGGUCCUUCUUGGCCACGGUGGGUCGAUGCCACAU
Molecule: non-coding RNA, 2046 nt
Organism: Anas platyrhynchos (mallard)
Lineage: Eukaryota; Metazoa; Chordata; Aves; Anseriformes; Anatidae
Source: RefSeq, a predicted model, not a curated record